RNAcentral lists this ribosomal RNA (333 nucleotides) under uncultured Latescibacterota bacterium. RNAcentral describes it as "bacterial SSU rRNA". It matches the Rfam family "Bacterial small subunit ribosomal RNA", at positions 29 to 351 of the family's 1533-position model. Lineage: Bacteria; Pseudomonadati; Candidatus Latescibacterota. The record is from RNAcentral.
AACGAACGUUGGCGGCGUGGAUUAGGCAUGCAAGUCAUACGGGAUCCAGCAAUGGGUCUAGUGGCGAACGGGUGAGUAUCGCGUGGGAAACCUGCCCUUGAGACGGGGAUAACACCUCCAACGGGGUGCUAAUACCGGAUAAGACCACGGAGUCGCAUGGCUCUGCGGUCAAAGGUGGCCUCUACUUGUAAGCUACCACUUAAGGAUGGUCCCGCGUCCCAUUAGCUAGUUGGCGGUGUAACGGACCACCAAGGCGACGAUGGGUAGCUGGUCUGAGAGGAUGGGUCAGCCACACUGGGACUGAGAUACGGCCCAGACUCCUACGGGAGGCAG